Molecule: long non-coding RNA, 817 nt
Organism: Homo sapiens (human)
Lineage: Eukaryota; Metazoa; Chordata; Mammalia; Primates; Hominidae
Source: Ensembl
CACCUAGUUUAAAAACAGUUAAUUAAUUCUGUAUUUACUCCUUUUCCUUAUUUAAUAAUUAUUUUGAAAGGCUACAACAGCACCAUGCCAAAUGAUGACGUAAAACAGUGAACCGAUUUUAAAAUAAGGAUGUAGAAUUAACAUAUGUAACAAGAUGUUUUAAACUUGUAUGUGGUGUCUUAGAUAGGUAAGUACCAGGGUUUUUAGUUGAUGAUGGUUUUAGGCACAUCACACUUAUAAAAGACAUGGUUCUCCACACUGUGAGUAGUUUGAUCUUCUGUGUUUGUGGUGCCGCAUCACUUAUGAAUGCUUCUAAUCUCAGUGUAUAAAUGGAACCAGUUUCAUACAAGGUAAUGGAAGCAGAAAAGGAUAUUCACCAAGUAUUAGUUUCUAGUACUGACAAGAAGCCUCCAGAGGCUGACACCAUGGGGUUCCAUCAAACUAAAAUCUGAGGGUGCAGACAGUGGGAGAUAUAACAGUUGACCACCUUAUUUGGUCAAGCUCAAGAAAAUUAUUCACAGCACAUAUUAGCAAAAUGUAAUAUUUAGUGGGCAUUUCAUCUUGGAAUUAUAUUUUGGAAUCUUUGAGGCAAGUGCACAUUUAAUGAUUCAUGUUUUAAAGAUUGAGUGUAAAUUUGUUUAUUCUUACCUGCCGACUUGCAUCCAGUGCUCCUGACUGGAGAGCCCAGGCUGAGAUGGUGUUAAAUGCUUUUACCACGUGGGCUCCUGGCACCAAAUGAGCAAGAUCUCACCCCACAGGCCUUGGAAACCUGAGGCAGUAUUCUUCUGGGAUGUUUCCAACUAGGCUUCCCAUGAGG